RNAcentral lists this transfer RNA (63 nucleotides) under Paurocephala sauteri. Its description in RNAcentral is "tRNA-Asp". The record is from RNAcentral. Lineage: Eukaryota; Metazoa; Arthropoda; Insecta; Hemiptera; Liviidae.
AAAAAGUUAGUUAAUUUUAUAACAUUGAUAUGUCAAAUCAAAAUUAUGAUAUCAUACUUUUUA